RNAcentral lists this unclassified non-coding RNA (240 nucleotides) under soil metagenome. RNAcentral describes it as "partial contains 5.8S ribosomal RNA, internal transcribed spacer 2, and large subunit ribosomal RNA". The record is from RNAcentral.
AACAUCGCGCACCUGCGGGAACCUGCGGAGGGAUCAUUACUGAGUCACGUGCUCAAACAACCCUUCUGUGGACCUGAAAUAAAACCGUUGCCUCGGCGGGCGGUCCCCCCCAAACCAACCCCACGUGGUGGGUUAGGGGAGACCAGACAGUCCAGUACGCUUAAGGCGUCCGGCGCCAGCCGCUGGCCCCAAACAAUUAAACUCUAGUAAUCUUUACCUUCUGAGUUUCAAUAUUUAAAA